This 167-nucleotide ribosomal RNA is filed under the name Osopsaron verecundum. RNAcentral's name for it is "partial 12S rRNA". Lineage: Eukaryota; Metazoa; Chordata; Actinopteri; Pempheriformes; Percophidae. The record is from RNAcentral.
UACCGCGGUUAUACGGACAGGCCUAAGUUGACAGAUAUCGGCGUAAAGCGUGGUUAAGAUGUUUAAAAAGUAAAGCGAAACCACCUCAAAGCAGUUAUACGCGUUUGAGCUAUGAGCCCCAGCAACGAAAGUGGCUUUAUUUUCCUGACCCCACGAAAGCUAAGAAA